GACGAACGCUGGCGGCGUGCCUAAUACAUGCAAGUCGAGCGGAUCAUUUCCUACGGGGAAUGGUUAGCGGCGGACGGGUGAGUAACACGUAGGUAACCUGCCUGUAAGAUCGGGAUAACUAUCGGAAACGAUAGCUAAGACCGGAUAACUGGUUUUCUCGCAUGAGAGAAUCAUGAAACACGGUUCCGAUUUAAUUCGGGCUGUGGCUUACAGAUGGGCCUGCGGCGCAUUAGCUAGUUGGUAGGGUAACGGCCUACCAAGGCGACGAUGCGUAGCCGACCUGAGAGGGUGAACGGCCACACUGGGACUGAGACACGGCCCAGACUCCUACGGGAGGCAGCAGUAGGGAAUCUUCCGCAAUGGACGCAAGUCUGACGGAGCAACGCCGCGUGAGUGAUGAAGGUUUUCGGAUCGUAAAGCUCUGUUGCCCUAGACGAACAGCAAGGCGAGUAACUGCGCUUUGUGUGACG
RNAcentral lists this ribosomal RNA (470 nucleotides) under uncultured Paenibacillus sp. RNAcentral's name for it is "bacterial SSU rRNA". It matches the Rfam family "Bacterial small subunit ribosomal RNA", at positions 28 to 474 of the family's 1533-position model. Lineage: Bacteria; Bacillati; Bacillota; Bacilli; Caryophanales; Paenibacillaceae. The record is from RNAcentral.